CAGGCUUAACACAUGCAAGUCGAGGGGCAGCAUGGUCUUAGCUUGCUAAGGCCGAUGGCGACCGGCGCACGGGUGAGUAACACGUAUCCAACCUGCCGUCUACUCUUGGACAGCCUUCUGAAAGGAAGAUUAAUACAAGAUGGCAUCAUGAGUCCGCAUGUUCACAUGAUUAAAGGUAUUCCGGUAGACGAUGGGGAUGCGUUCCAUUAGAUAGUAGGCGGGGUAACGGCCCACCUAGUCUUCGAUGGAUAGGGGUUCUGAGAGGAAGGUCCCCCACAUUGGAACUGAGACACGGUCCAAACUCCUACGGGAGGCAGCAGUGAGGAAUAUUGGUCAAUGGGCGAGAGCCUGAACCAGCCAAGUAGCGUGAAGGAUGACUGCCCUAUGGGUUGUAAACUUCUUUUAUAAAGGAAUAAAGUCGGGUAUGCAUACCCGUUUGCAUGUACUUUAUGAAUAAGGAUCGGCUAACUCCGUGCCAGCAGCCGCGGUAAUACGGAGGAUCCGAGCGUUAUCCGGAUUUAUUGGGUUUAAAGGGAGCGUAGAUGGAUGUUUAAGUCAGUUGUGAAAGUUUGCGGCUCAACCGUAAAAUUGCAGUUGAUACUGGAUAUCUUGAGUGCAGUUGAGGCAGGCGGAAUUCGUGGUGUAGCGGUGAAAUGCUUAGAUAUCACGAAGAACUCCGAUUGCGAAGGCAGCCUGCUAAGCUGCAACUGACAUUGAGGCUCGAAAGUGUGGGUAUCAAACAGGAUUAGAUACCCUGGUAGUCCACACGGUAAACGAUGAAUACUCGCUGUUUGCGAUAUACAGCAAGCGGCCAAGCGAAAGCGUUAAGUAUUCCACCUGGGGAGUACGCCGGCAACGGUGAAACUCAAAGGAAUUGACGGGGGCCCGCACAAGCGGAGGAACAUGUGGUUUAAUUCGAUGAUACGCGAGGAACCUUACCCGGGCUUAAAUUGCAGAUGAAUUACGGUGAAAGCCGUAAGCCGCAAGGCAUCUGUGAAGGUGCUGCAUGGUUGUCGUCAGCUCGUGCCGUGAGGUGUCGGCUUAAGUGCCAUAACGAGCGCAACCCUUGUUGUCAGUUACUAACAGGUUCCGCUGAGGACUCUGACAAGACUGCCAUCGUAAGAUGUGAGGAAGGUGGGGAUGACGUCAAAUCAGCACGGCCCUUACGUCCGGGGCUACACACGUGUUACAAUGGGGGGUACAGAGGGCCGCUACCACGCGAGUGGAUGCCAAUCCCAAAAACCUCUCUCAGUUCGGACUGGAGUCUGCAACCCGACUCCACGAAGCUGGAUUCGCUAGUAAUCGCGCAUCAGCCACGGCGCGGUGAAUACGUUCCCGGGCCUUGUACACACCGCCCGUCAAGCCAUGGGAGCCGGGGGUACCUGAAGUGCGUAACCGCGAGGAGCGCCCUAGGGUAAAACUGGUGACUGGGGCUAA
This 1437-nucleotide ribosomal RNA is filed under the name uncultured organism. RNAcentral describes it as "16S ribosomal RNA". It matches the Rfam family "Bacterial small subunit ribosomal RNA". The record is from RNAcentral.